RNAcentral lists this ribosomal RNA (253 nucleotides) under uncultured bacterium. Its description in RNAcentral is "partial 16S ribosomal RNA". It matches the Rfam family "Bacterial small subunit ribosomal RNA", at positions 524 to 776 of the family's 1533-position model. The record is from RNAcentral.
UACGUAGGGGGCGAGCGUUGUUCGGAUUUACUGGGCGUAAAGCGCGUGUAGGCGGGUCGUUAAGUUGGGGGUGAAAGCCCGGAGCUCAACCCCGGGACUGCCUUCAAAACUGGCGGCCUGGAGCAUGGCAGAGGCGAGUGGAAUUGCGGGUGUAGAGGUGAAAUUCGUAGAUAUUCGCAGGAACACCAGUGGCGAAGGCGACUCGCUGGGACGUUGCUGACGCUGAGACGCGAAAGCGUGGGGAGCAAACAGG